UUGGCUGCGUGUCAAUCCCCACGGAGGCGACUACCACAGUGCCACUCUCCCUGUUGAGGGCAGAGAGGGAGGAGAGGGGCUGAGGGAUGAAGGGAAGGAGGGAGAGAGGGAGGGAGGUAAACGUGUAAUCACCCAAACAACCAUUUUUACCCAUUUCACCCCCUCCGAAUGUGUCGCAAGGCGCCGUCUUCCUCCCUCUCUCUCCUUCACUGCGGAUACUGAGGCGGAGGCCGGGGAGAAGACAGCAAGAGAUGCUGAACUCUUUGGGCGUGGAACACCCUGCAGGAGAUUUUGGUGGCCUAAACCGGGGGCGAUAUUAGGCAAGUG
Long non-coding RNA from Synchiropus splendidus (mandarinfish), 327 nucleotides. RefSeq lists it as uncharacterized. The transcript has 3 exons. The record is from RefSeq and is a predicted model, not a curated record. NCBI's taxonomy places the organism in Eukaryota, Metazoa, Chordata, Actinopteri, Syngnathiformes, Callionymidae.